CUUGGUCAUUUAGAGGAAGUAAAAGUCGUAACAAGGUCUCCGUUGGUGAACCAGCGGAGGGAUCAUUACAGAGUUGCAAAACUCCCAAACCAUUGUGAACGUUACCUAACCGUUGCUUCGGCGGGCGGCCCGGGCCCUGCGCCCGGCGCCCCUCGGCCCCCCGCGGGCGCCCGCCGGAGGUAAACCAAACUCUUGAAUUGUAUGGCCUCUCUGAGUCUUCUGUACUGAAUAAGUCAAAACUUUCAACAACGGAUCUCUUGGUUCUGGCAUCGAUGAAGAACGCAGCGAAAUGCGAUAAGUAAUGUGAAUUGCAGAAUUCAGUGAAUCAUCGAAUCUUUGAACGCACAUUGCGCCCGCCAGUAUUCUGGCGGGCAUGCCUGUUCGAGCGUCAUUUCAACCAUCAAGCCCCCGGCUUGUGUUGGGGACCUGCGGCUGCCGCAGGCCCUGAAAACCAGUGGCGGGCUCGCUGUCACUCCGAGCGUAGUAGUUACAUCUCGCUCAGGGCGUGCUGCGGGUUCCGGCCGUUAAAAAGCCUUAUUUACCCCAAGAUUGACCUCGGAUCAGGUAGGAAGACCCGCUGAACUUAAGCAUAUCAAUAAGCGGAGGA
RNAcentral lists this ribosomal RNA (607 nucleotides) under Chaetomium sp. F26. RNAcentral's name for it is "eukaryotic LSU rRNA". The stretch from base 238 to 391 matches the Rfam family "5.8S ribosomal RNA". The record is from RNAcentral. Lineage: Eukaryota; Fungi; Ascomycota; Sordariomycetes; Sordariales; Chaetomiaceae.